This 253-nucleotide ribosomal RNA is filed under the name uncultured bacterium. RNAcentral's name for it is "partial 16S ribosomal RNA". It matches the Rfam family "Bacterial small subunit ribosomal RNA", at positions 524 to 776 of the family's 1533-position model. The record is from RNAcentral.
UACAGAGGGUGCGAGCGUUGUCCGGAAUCACUGGGCGUAAAGGGCGCGUAGGCGGCCUGGUAGGCGUGCGGUGAAAGCCCGGGGCUCAACCCCGGGUCGGCCGUGCGAACUGCGAGGCUGGAGCACUGUAGAGGCAGGUGGAAUUCCGGGUGUAGCGGUGGAAUGCGUAGAGAUCCGGAAGAACACCGGUGGCGAAGGCGGCCUGCUGGGCAGUGGCUGACGCUGAGGCGCGACAGCGUGGGGAGCAAACAGG